RNAcentral lists this ribosomal RNA (476 nucleotides) under uncultured bacterium. RNAcentral's name for it is "partial 16S ribosomal RNA". It matches the Rfam family "Bacterial small subunit ribosomal RNA", at positions 28 to 523 of the family's 1533-position model. The record is from RNAcentral.
GGUGAACGCUGGCGGCGUGCUCAAGACAUGCAAGUCGAACGGCAGUCUUCGGAUUGUAGUGGCGCACGGGUGAGUAACGCGUAACUGACCUACCCCAAAGUCGCGGAUAACGAUUCGAAAGAAUCGCUAAUACGUGAUGUGCUGUCAGAUUGUGUUCUGCCAGUAAAGAUUGAUUGCUUUGGGAUGGGGUUGCGUUCCAUCAGCUAGUUGGUGGGGUAAAGGCCCACCAAGGCGACGACGGAUAGCCGGCCUGAGAGGGUGGCCGGCCACAGGGGCACUGAGAAACGGGUCCCACUCCUACGGGAGGCAGCAGUUAGGAAUCUUCCACAAUGGGCGAAAGCCUGAUGGGGCGACGCCGCGUGAGGGAUGAAGGUCUUCGGAUCGUAAACCUCUGAAUCAGGGACGAAAGACACUUCGGUGGGAUGACGGUACCUGAGUAAUAGCACCGGCUAACUCCGUGCCAGCCGCCGCGGUAA